This 5088-nucleotide long non-coding RNA is filed under the name Sus scrofa (pig). RNAcentral describes it as "lncRNA (ENSSSCG00000058244.1)". The record is from RNAcentral. Lineage: Eukaryota; Metazoa; Chordata; Mammalia; Artiodactyla; Suidae.
UCUGGAAACAUGACCAGUGCCCCUUCCAUUCACCAGGCUGUUUCAGUAUACAUACAUAUAUAUAAAGUUAGGCAGUGUUAAGGCUACAGAAAAUAUAGCAAAAGGCACUGGAAAAGUCCAAGCAUUCGCAAUUAUGGUUUGUUGAAACCUCAGAACUCUGAUUUUCAAAUUAAUUCAAGUCAUUCUGAAUUUGGCAAAGGAAUAAACUCUGUUUUCUUGAAGUUCUCUUCCCAAGGCCCCAACCCAUGUUCCCUGGAGGCAGGAUUGCGGGUACAAAGUUCAGAUUUUCUCAAACAGAUCCCAGUGACUCUCAUGAUCUUCUGACUCAUAUUGAUGAUCUACCCAGGCUUUUGUGAUAAAAAUCUUCAGAUUCAUUACUCUGAGCCUUCAAAUAGGUCUCGUCUUUCUUCCCUAUCAGUGAUUAAUGAUCCACAUGAACUUGCCUUUUGUUUUUCUUCUUUUUUGGUUCCUCAUAUUUUAUAAUACACUUAGCCUUGAGUUAUACAGCCUUAUCCAAUAAUUCUUAUCCACAGAAGAAUUAUUGGCAUUCAUCUCCAGCCAUCUAUAAAUCUCCUUCAUCUUCCCAGCUGCCUUUUUGUUUACCCCUAAAUGUGCUUUCUGUUCUCUUUCUAACAAAUCCUCCUCACUCCACUUUACCCCCAUUCUGCCUUAAGGUUUUACUGGCCAAAUCUCAGCUUAGCAAAUAUUGCUCAUCUUGGCUUUCCUGGGACCUAAUAGUCAGGACCUAAUAUAAUGUAUGAAAAAAAAAUUGCUUUGGUCAGAGAAUUGCUUCUCUUCAUAGCAUGCAACUAAGGCAUGUUACAUGGAUAUAUAUUUUUUCUUUGGAACACUUUCUGUCAUAGGUGCUAGUGGCCUGAGAGCUUAAGUAAUAUUUCAGGAGUUUUGCAAUUUACCAGUUCGAGCUCCUAUCCAGAAACUGGAGGAUCUCUCCAAUGGACCAACCUAAUAGUUUGAUUUCAGAUCCAUCCCAUUGUGCUAAAAGAAAGUACAAAUAAGUAGAUAAAAUAUGCAUAUAAAUACACAAAGCUAGAGCAAAAUGGUCAAAUUAUGGGCAGCUCCGAGGAUAACUUUCUUAUCAGCUCCCCUAGUGCACAUUUUACCAAGGCAGUUCCAUUAGUAGUACUUCUUUUGGUUGAACAGGGCUGAGCACUCAAGUCUUGCUGCACAGCUCCUCCUGUUGACUUGUGUUGGUCAGACCUUACCUCCAGUCAGGUGCUUGCUGACACAGUGCCACUCUGUGUAAAGCCCCCCAGGAGGCAAGAUCAGAAAUUGAAUGGAAGCAUUUAGAAGCUUUAAAGCAAUUUCAUCUCUAUUGAAUCUAAUAACAAAAAAAAUUGUUAUGAUGAUGCAUAUGCCUUUGAUUUUUAAAAUAGUUUUUCUAGUUAUUCAAGAUGUGCUCACUCUAUUUUAUAAAAGUACUAGCUUGGGAUGGAUUGGAAUUUUGUUCUUUUAAUGACCCUUCAGUUGGUUUGAGAAACACAAAGGCCAAAGGCAGUGCCCCAGUUUGGCCAUCAAAUUGGCAAAUGCAUCAUAGUGUUCACCUAUACCCACCAGCAAGACAAGGUGGUGCUUUAUACUCUGCAGUGCACAUAGUGAAAACAAUAUUCUUCCAUUUCCCAAUAUAAAAUUGCACCAUCAUGCUUUUUCAAACCAUACAGGGUAAAGUGGUUUGGGUGCCAUCCCUCUGCCUGCCAAAAGUGGCUGGUGGGAAGGAAAGCAUAGGAAACUCAGAGCAGGCAGACCUGGGCUCAAGCCCUAGAUCUCUUUCAUAUAACAAUAAAAUUGUCCAAGUCCUUUCAACUAUCUAAGCUUUUGUUUCAUUCCCUUAAAAUAGGAAUAAAUGUACCUAUUUAUUUUAAUUUAUGGGGUGGUUAUAAGAAAUAUUUACUCCUUUACUUACUCAGUAAUACUUAUAAACAUCUAUGUGUAUUAAACACCAUGCAUCAGGCAGAAUAGUCAUAGGGAAACAUAACAGAUAUGGUUGGCAGCUAGACAUCCAGUGUAAUAACAACAAAAAUAAACAAGUAGACCAACAGUGAUAUCAUUGCAUAUAUGGCAAGUGCUACAAAGGAAAUGAACAGGAUGCUAUGAGAGAGAUAAUUAACACAGGUGGGCUGGGUUGGGGUGAGAGAACAAGUUGAGACAGCAGGACAUAGAUCUGAACAAAUAGAUCUGAAGGGAAGUUCUUGAUGCAGAAAUCUGAAGAAUAAGAAGCCACCAAUGCCCUAAAGACCAAAAGGAAGGGUGUUCCUGGAGGAGGGAACAGCAAGUACAAAGACUCUGAGGGAAAGGAGUUGGGAGUUCAAGCUGAAGGAGACUGUUACUAGAGACAAGCGAUGGAGUAUCUUGAGAUGAGGGUGAAAAAACAACAGGAAUGUUGUAGAUUAUUUCCCUAGUUUUCAUAAUCACCUCCAAAAGCAUCACACCUUUUUUUUUUUUUUUUUUUUUUUUUUUUUUUUUUUUUUUUUUACACUGGAGGAAAAUGAGUUGAAGAGAUUAAAUGAUUUGACUGAGCACCUGGAAUGGCAGGGUGAUGACUCAGCACUGGACCUAGGGCCAUCUAUGUUGCAUAGCGCUAUGAGUUACUGGGAUAGUAAAAAGAGGAAAUACAAGAUUUCUCUGGAAAGCAAAGUAAGUCAAUAUAUUCACCAUCAAAGAUCGAAGCUUUGACGUAAGUUCUGUUAUCUUCAUGGACCCCUGAACUUCAUGCUAAUCUAAGUGGAAAAUGUGUUGAGUUGUUUAUCAGGCUCCAAAGGUUUGAAACCUCAAGCACAUUAUGUAUGAAAAAAUGGGAGAGUGGAAAAGUUGGUUUUGCUUCUGAAAAGGAUAAUGUGAUGAAUCACUGUUUAAAUGAACCUGUGGAGCUUGGCAAAGCUUUAAAAUGGACCAUUUAAUUGUGUCAUCCUGAGUCCUUAACUUUAUAGUGCCUGGAAGAAGACUGUCUCUGUGAAGUGGUGGUGGGGGGAUAAAUGCUGCUCUGUGAUUUUGAGAUGAGAACAAUAGCUCAAGAUGUGAGGAGGAAAUUGGUGUAUUGGAUUCUGAAAUAAAUUGCAGCCCUCAGGAGCUCUUUGAGAAGCCUGGAAAGUUCUGUCAAGCAGAAAGCCACUGUGAGUGGGUUUGUGAGACUGGUGGGUAGCUGCGUCCCACUUUUAGGAAAAUAUCUUGAUGAAAGGAAUGUCCUGAAUGAAAAACCAAUAGGAAUGGAUCAUCCCAAGCCUCUCUCUUCUUUUUACCUUUUUUACUACUGGGAACUUCUUUUCUCAAUUCUGUAAUGACCUGCUUCAAGUAAACUAAAAUAAUGUGAGUUUAAGACUGUGAUUCCCAACCAGGGUGAUUUUAUGCCACCUCCACCACCAUUCCUCCAGGUAUAUGGCAAUGUCUGGGGGCAUUUGUUGCCACAGGGAGAGGGUGCUCCUAGCAUCUGGGGGUAGACGCUAAACAUCCUACAAAUUAUAGGACUUCUCUCUCAACACAGAAUUAGCUGACCCCAAAUGAUAACAGUACUGACAAAAGGCAACUGGCCUUGAUUUAAGGUCAACUCUUUUUGCUUUUUAUUUUAUUUUUUUUUUGUCUUUUUUUUUUUUUUUUUUUUUUUGCCUUUUCUAGGGUUGCUUCUGGCAGCAUAUGGAGGUUCCCAGGCUAGGGGUCUAAUCAGAGCUAUAGCCGCCGGUCUACGCCAGAGCCACAGCAACACAGGAUCCGAGCUGCGUUCGCAACCUACACCACAGCUCACAGCAACACCAGAUCCUUAACCCACUGAGCAAGGCCAGGGAUCGAACCCGCAACCUCAUGGUUCCUAGUCGGAUUCGUUAACCACUGCGCCAUGAUGGGAACUCCCAACUCUUUUUGUUUUUUAAGUUGUCCAAGUCAGUCAUAUUUGUAAUGACUCCCAAGACCAACCUGGAAGGCUCAACAUGUGGGUAAUCCACACUUGCAAUGCCGAUUUCUUAAAAACUUAUGAAAAUUAUAUUCACUCCCCUAAAUCAGGAAUCAUACAACACUUGCUGCCAUGGGUCUCAUAUAAUUAUACGAGAAACUAUGUGAUUAUAUUUAUUUAUUUUUUGCUAAUAUUUUAAUAAAAUCAUGGUAAUGUAUCAUAUAGUCAGAUACCAUCCCCUCUGUAAAGCAACAGAACAAAGCACAGCAAAAUGCACCAAAUGGAUAUUAUGCAUAUAUUCAGGAUUUUUUUAUAUUCUUGGACGUUAUCAGGCUCCAGAGAGAUAAAUGUAUUUCAGGAUCCCAGGACCACUAACUCAUCAGAGUCUCAAAGAAAACUGUUUCAAUUCUCAUAAAAUUCUUUGUCAGGAAAAUUAAAAACUACUAUUUUCUGAGCUUAUUUCUUUUCUUACUAGUUUCUCCCCUUGGUGUUUUACAUGAUUGAUUUUAUUUAAGACUCACGAGCGUCCUACAAUGUAAGUGUUAGUAGCCUUAUUUUAGAGAUGUGUUGUCUCAGAUAUACAAGAGUAACAGAACUCACACAAUUUAGUGAAUUCCAGUGUAUCACACUGUUUUCUAUCCCAGCUUCAUCUCCUUUUUGAGGUCACAGAUACUAAGUCAGAGAUAACUGAGGAGGUCUUUUGGAAAUGGAAUACAAAGCAGAGAAACAGACUACAGCUAAUCUGCAUUAUAUGUUUACAUCGUAUUAUAUAUAGUUAUGUAUUAUGUAUAGCAAUACAUAUUGUACGCUAUAUAUCAUAUUGUUAUACUGUAUCAUAUAAUUGAAAGUUGCUAAGAGAAUAGAUACUAAAGGUUCUCAUCAGAGGAAGAAAAAUUUUCUAUGUGUGGUGAUAGAUGUUAACUAGACAUCGUGGUGAUCACUGUGCAAAUAUACAUAUAUCAAAUCAUUAUGUUGUAUACCUAAAACUAAGGUAAAAUGUUAUGUGUCAAUUAUACCUCAUUUUUAAAAAACCACUACUGAUAUGAAAAAGGGAAAUAACAAAACCAACAUGACAAAAUGUCGUCCUAGUCAUGGCCAUAAAAAGAAAUGGCCAAAACUGGUUUAAGUUUUAGGUCUUUCAGCACAUGCACUGAUGUUUACAACUCAUCCACCACAUAACUGUGAACAGC